UGCUGGCGGGCCGCGCGGGCGGCGUGCCGCUCGCCCUGGCGUUGGCCGCGUUCUGGGUCGCGGGCGAAUGGC
This 72-nucleotide transfer RNA is filed under the name Roseomonas sp. CECT 9278. Its description in RNAcentral is "tRNA-Ala". Lineage: Bacteria; Pseudomonadati; Pseudomonadota; Alphaproteobacteria; Acetobacterales; Roseomonadaceae. The record is from RNAcentral.